UGUAGAGGAGACAGCGAAGAGACUUCUAUGGACCAAGGUCCACCUGCACCAAGCCGUAAUUCCGCGCUUGACAGACACGCGCGGUGAGUUGACCGCGGCUGGUUAUGCAGAAAUUUGGAUGGGUACAGUACUACAGUUGAGAUACACAUGGGAGGCACGUGAUAGCAAUACAACCCUAGAGCCUAUCUCAGAUCAUCGAUCCCUCUCUCUCUCAUCGUUCUCCUUGUCUCUCCACCCCCGAAUCAGAGGAGGUGAUUGAGGUUGCGAGUUCCGGCAGCGAUCGGAGGCACCAGAUCGAUAUCCUUCUCCUUCUCAUGGUCAUCUCGCUCAUUGUUGUCCUUGUCCCCCCAAUUUGAUUCACCUCCCCGAUUCAGAAAUUAGAAGGUGUUGAUACAUUGGGGUUUCGAAUAAUCAUCGAUUGGCGGCGGCGUCGUAUUGGGUUUGGCUCUGAGCCUCUGAUUUUUAUGGAAUGUACGAUGUAAUGGAUUGCCGUAUGAUGGAACUGCAGAACUUUGUUCAUCGAAUUUGCCCAUUUUCUCUUUCAAGAUGUUGGUUGAGUUUGUUAUUAAAUGAUAACAGUAAUUGGGGUGACAAAUAUUGUGUUGACUGUUGAAGAUGACUGGUAGGAGUUGUGAAAGCUUGUCUGUACCUGCGUAUAGCUUCUGGUCUUCUAGUACCAGAAGCCAAGCUGUUUCUGCAUUUGGAGGAUUUGCUUUAUGUGGAUAAAGCCAAACCCCAUGAUCGCAGGACGAUGCGUGACUCACCGAUUGUGCAAACUAAGUUGAGCAAAUAGUCAUUUGCAGGUUAAAGAUUUAACUGAGCAGUUUCCAGCCGCUACACCCCUUGCUUUGGCACUGAAACAGUUCUUGGCAGAUUGUAGUCUGGAUCAGUCUUAUUCUGGUGGCUUGAGUUCCUACUGUUUGGUACCACUAAUUGUGCGUUUUCCCCAGCAUGAGUGUCUUCUUGACCGACCUAUCAACCAAGACUUUGGAGACCUUCUGAUGAAUUUUCUUUAUUUUUUUGGAAUGUUUUUGAUCCUCGGCAAAUGCGUAUUUCCGUACAGGGAAGUGGUGUUUAUAUAAAGAGGGAAAGAGGUUGCAGGUUUUUCACCACUGGGCUUCCUUGUGAUGUUGUUGUUGAAGUUGGAGAAAUGUCUUUCCAUCUUCAUAAUUUUCUUUUGCUCUCAAGAAGUCGAGUCAUGGAAGUUGAUUUCAGAAGCAUCUGAAGAUGGAGAUGAAGCAUGCAAAAUAAACCUCCCUCAUAUUCCUGGUGAGCUAAAACUUUCGAACUGGUAGCCAAGUUCUGCUAUGGGGUGAAACUUGAACUGACUGCUUCAAAUGUUGUAUGCCUGCGAUGUGCUGCUGAGCACCUUGAAAGGACUGAAGAGUGUGGGAGGUAAUUUGUCCUUGUCUUCAGAGGAGAGUUGUCUGCCCAUCGCUAGCAUCAUUUUCGCAUUAGUUAUAUCCAGGCUUGAAGAGGAUUGAGCUCUGUGCAGUUGGAACCAAAAUCGAUGAUACCAGCUCUGUUGGCAUCAAAUAUGGUCUCGAUUAUUGUUAUUUUCGAGUUCUAGGUAUUUAGUAUGCUACUAGCUUAUGAUGUUCGAGCACUAGCUUUUUGUUGAUAGUUUGUUACUUUUCUUGCUGUUACUAAUGUUCUUGUCUUUGACAUGUCUAGCUGCCAUAUUUUUUUUUUUUUUUUUUUUUCGGAAUCUUGCUGCCAUGUUGAAUGGAAAUUUUUUGGAGAUGUCAGAAAUUCCGGAGUUUUAAUUUUUGGUGGUUACUGACGAUGGCUUGCUGGAUACAUCUUAGUAAGGGAGCCGAAGGGCAGGUGCAUGGGACAUGUUCCUGUUUAAUUGUUGUUCAAGACCACCUUGAUUACAAGCUAAAUCCUAGUAUGUCCAUAUAUAGAAUUUCUUAAUCUUGUUGUCAAUCUAUUCCUUAUAUGGAAAUAGAAAUUGUCUGAGAGUUCCUUGGAGAAAUCAAGUUUAAAUUACUUUCAUUGUAUAGAACUAGUGUAUAAAUUACUUUCUGAAUAUAGAUUAUGCAUAAAUUCUACC
This is an RNA transcript of Rosa chinensis, 2056 nucleotides long. RefSeq lists it as uncharacterized. NCBI's taxonomy places the organism in Eukaryota, Viridiplantae, Streptophyta, Magnoliopsida, Rosales, Rosaceae. The record is from RefSeq and is a predicted model, not a curated record. The transcript has 10 exons.